This 80-nucleotide transfer RNA is filed under the name Apiotrichum porosum. Its description in RNAcentral is "tRNA-Asp". Lineage: Eukaryota; Fungi; Basidiomycota; Tremellomycetes; Trichosporonales; Trichosporonaceae. The record is from RNAcentral.
UUCUUGAUCGUAUAACGGUUAGUAUGCUCGCUUGUCAUUACAGCUCGCGGGAGAUCGGAGUUCGAUUCUCCGUCAGGAAG